CGCGUAGGUGGUUAGGUAAGCGAGAUGUGAAAGCCCCGGGCUUAACCUGGGAACGGCAUUUCGAACUGUCUGACUAGAGUAUGGUAGAGGGUAGCGGAAUUUCCUGUGUAGCGGUGAAAUGCGUAGAUAUAGGAAGGAACACCAGUGGCGAAGGCGGCUACCUGGACCAAUACUGACACUGAGGUGCGAAAGCGUGGGGAGCAAACA
RNAcentral lists this ribosomal RNA (207 nucleotides) under uncultured bacterium. RNAcentral describes it as "partial 16S ribosomal RNA". It matches the Rfam family "Bacterial small subunit ribosomal RNA", at positions 568 to 774 of the family's 1533-position model. The record is from RNAcentral.